RNAcentral lists this ribosomal RNA (408 nucleotides) under uncultured bacterium. Its description in RNAcentral is "bacterial SSU rRNA". It matches the Rfam family "Bacterial small subunit ribosomal RNA", at positions 355 to 786 of the family's 1533-position model. The record is from RNAcentral.
UGGGGAAUAUUGGGCAAUGGACUCAAGUCUGACCCAGCAACGCCGCGUGAAGGAAGAAGGCUUUCGGGUUGUAAACUUCUUUUAAGGGGAAGAGCAGAAGACGGUACCCUGAUAGCACGCUACUACGUGCCAGCAGCCGCGGUAAUACGUAGGUGGCAAGCGUUGUCCGGAUUUACUGGGUGUAAAGGGCGUGCAGCCGGGAAGACAAGUCAGAUGUGAAAUCCCGCGGCUCAACCGCGUAACUGCAUUUGAAACUGUUUUUCUUGAGUAUCGGAGAGGUCAUCGGAAUUCCUAGUGUAGCGGUGAAAUGCGUAGAUAUUAGGAAGAACACCAGUGGCGAAGGCGGAUGACUGGACGACAACUGACGGUGAGGCGCGAAAGCGUGGGGAGCAAACAGGAUUAGAUACC